RNAcentral lists this ribosomal RNA (497 nucleotides) under uncultured bacterium. Its description in RNAcentral is "partial 16S ribosomal RNA". It matches the Rfam family "Bacterial small subunit ribosomal RNA", at positions 28 to 507 of the family's 1533-position model. The record is from RNAcentral.
GACGAACGCUGGCGGCGUGCCUAAUACAUGCAAGUUGAGCGCUGAAGGUUGGUACUUGUCCCGACUGGAUGAGCAGCGAACGGGUGAGUAACGCGUGGGGAAUCUGCCUUUGAGCGGGGGACAACAUUUGGAAACGAAUGCUAAUACCGCAUAAAAACUUUAAACACAAGUUUUAAGUUUGAAAGAUGCAAUUGCAUCACUCAAAGAUGAUCCCGCGUUGUAUUAGCUAGUUGGUGAGGUAAAGGCUCACCAAGGCGAUGAUACAUAGCCGACCUGAGAGGGUGAUCGGCCACAUUGGGACUGAGACACGGCCCAAACUCCUACGGGAGGCAGCAGUAGGGAAUCUUAGGCAAUGGACGAAAGUCUGACCGAGCAACGCCGCGUGAGUGAAGAAGGUUUUCGGAUCGUAAAACUCUGUUGGUAGAGAAGAACGUUGGUGAGAGUGGAAAGCUCAUCAAGUGACGGUAACUACCCAGAAAGGGACGGCUAACUACGUG